GACGAACGCUGGCGGCGUGCUUAACACAUGCAAGUCGAACGGAAAGGCCUGCAGCUUGCUGCGGGUACUCGAGUGGCGAACGGGUGAGUAACACGUGGGUGAUCUGCCUUGCACUUCGGGAUAAGCUUGGGAAACUGGGUCUAAUACCGGAUAGGACAGCUGUUUAGUGUCAGUUGUGGAAAGUUUUUUCGGUGCAAGAUGAGCUCGCGGCCUAUCAGCUUGUUGGUGGGGUAAUGGCCUACCAAGGCGUCGACGGGUAGCCGGCCUGAGAGGGUGUACGGCCACAUUGGGACUGAGAUACGGCCCAGACUCCUACGGGAGGCAGCAGUGGGGAAUAUUGCACAAUGGGCGGAAGCCUGAUGCAGCGACGCCGCGUGGGGGAUGAAGGCCUUCGGGUUGUAAACUCCUUUCGACGGGGACGAAGCGUAAGUGACGGUACCUGUAUAAGAAGCACCGGCUAACUACGUGCCAGCAGCCGCGGUAAUACGUAGGGUGCGAGCGUUGUCCGGAAUUACUGGGCGUAAAGAGCUCGUAGGUGGUUUGUCGCGUCGUCUGUGAAAUUCCGGGGCUUAACUCCGGGCGUGCAGGCGAUACGGGCUGACUUGAGUGCUGUAGGGGAGACUGGAAUUCCUGGUGUAGCGGUGAAAUGCGCAGAUAUCAGGAGGAACACCGAUGGCGAAGGCAGGUCUCUGGGCAGUAACUGACGCUGAGGAGCGAAAGCAUGGGUAGCGAACAGG
RNAcentral lists this ribosomal RNA (737 nucleotides) under uncultured Corynebacterium sp. Its description in RNAcentral is "bacterial SSU rRNA". It matches the Rfam family "Bacterial small subunit ribosomal RNA", at positions 28 to 776 of the family's 1533-position model. Lineage: Bacteria; Bacillati; Actinomycetota; Actinomycetes; Mycobacteriales; Corynebacteriaceae. The record is from RNAcentral.